Molecule: RNA transcript, 2078 nt
Organism: Salvia miltiorrhiza (redroot sage)
Lineage: Eukaryota; Viridiplantae; Streptophyta; Magnoliopsida; Lamiales; Lamiaceae
Gene name: transcription factor TCP13-like
Exons: 4
Source: RefSeq, a predicted model, not a curated record
AGAAAAAUAUAUAUAGUAGUGUGGUCCUCUCCAUAUAUAUAUAUAUCUUGAAGAAAAUUUCAAUGGAAAUCAGUUGGUCCCUCACACCCCAUGGCAACAUCAGAGUGACGUUACUCUCACUCUAGAAACUCCAAAAAUAUAAUCCAAUUUGAGAGAAGAAUUCAUGGUCCCAUAGAUUGGAAAUGCACCGGCUUCUUAGCUCGAUUAAGAAGGCAAAAUUUUGUCUUGGUUUGAGACUUGGAUACUAUGCAAGUCCAAAGCUUUGACAGCUACUUAGCUAAGCUUAACCACAAUUAAUUCAUGAGACCAAAACCAUGAGAGAAGAAUUUGACUAACACAUUCCGAUGCCGGUGUACACGUGGCGCCACGACAACCAUUCUUUCCUUUCUCUUGGAGCAAUAUGGUCAAUGCAAUCCAAUACCAGCAUCUUCACUUCCCAAUUCCCUUCUCCUUUUCAUUUCACAUCUUUGUAUAAGUAUAUAUCAUCUCUAUAUGCUAGCUAGGGAAUUUAGUUAGGCAUAUGUAUCUUGAGAGGAUUUCUGAGCUAGUCAAGAAAUUAAGGCAUCUUGAUGAUAUGGCUUCAGACAAGGUGGAGUAAUUAAUUAAAUUGUGAAUUAUUUAUCAAGUUUUGGGAUGAAUUGAGUGAGAAAUAUCCAAUCAAGAGGUGUGGAGGAAACCAAUUAUGAGUGACAUAAGAUGAUUUCAAGAGAAAUAGCAAAGCAAGAGAGUAGCAGCACAACUGACAAUAACAACAACAGCAACAACAACAACAACGACAACAGCAGCAACAACAUCAGCAGCUUGAAGGCAGCCACGACAUCGUGGUCGAGGCUGAAGGACCCCCGGAUAGUACGCGUGUCGAGGGCCUUCGGGGGAAAGGACCGGCACAGCAAGGUGUGCACGGUGAGGGGCCUGAGGGACAGACGCGUGCGGCUGUCCGUCCCCACGGCCAUCCAGCUCUACGACCUCCAAGACCGCCUCGGCCUCAACCAGCCGAGCAAGGUCGUCGACUGGCUCCUCAACGCCGCCAAGGCCGAGAUCGAUGAGCUGCCGCCGCUGCAAUUCCCUCACCCCACCAUGCUCGACAACCUCAACAAUCAAUUAGACCUCAAAUCCAAGGAUCAUCAAGAUCAUCAUCAUUCAUAUCUUAACCAAAACCAAAACCAAAACCAAAACCAAAACCAAAACCCCUCUUCUUCUACUACUUCAAAUAUCCCAUUCAAUUCAUCGUUUGUGAGAUGGGAUCCUUCAACCCUAACCCUCUCUCACCCCCCGCGAAGCCCUAACUGCUCGUCGUCGCCACAUCAGCAGCCGGCCGCCGAGGAUUGGCACAAUUUCAGCCUGGUGCAGCCUCACCACCACCACCACCACCAGGUGCUCGUGUACCAACCUGCAGCUGCAAUGGCGGCACAGCCUUAUUUCCAGUCACAAAUCUCUGCAUCCAACGCAGAUUUCUCACCAAGUGUUGAGGCCUCCACCCAUUUCAACAUCAUCACCGCCAAUCUCCUCCCUUCGCAAAACAACGACGGCAGCAGAUGAUCAAACUACUAUGAUUUCAUGUCGAUGCCAUCAACUCCAAACUUAACACACUGAUGAGGCAGCAACGCAAUCAUUCUGCAAGACGUUGUAGUCCGACAUUGAGGUGGUUGAAUUCAGAGAGCAGAAGAACAAGGAGACGCGAAGGGAUAGAUCGGUGUCGGAGACACGAAGAGACUCGUUCUUGCGGCGGAGCGCAUCAACCUUCUCGAUAGAAUCAGAAUCACGAAGUCAUGAUAAGCAAAUUUUGUGUAGCGCAAUUAAAGAGCUACGGGUACUCGACGAUGUUGCUCGAAUCAUGGAAGUUGCGCUCGGCAUCGCCGCCUGCGCCGUCGAAAAAUGCGACGUCGGUGGUGUACAUAAUGGCGGCAGUGGUCUCGCAUGAAAUUGUAUAAAGGAGAUGAAUUUACUAACGACUCAUGUUUCAUAGGACGUCUUAGAAAAGAAUACGACGUCCUCAUGUUUCAUGGGAUGGAGGGAGUACUAUAUUUAGUCUUCGCCGAAACUAAUAGAUUAUUUAUGUAUUAUUGAUUUAAAGAUUA